Molecule: transfer-messenger RNA, 363 nt
Filed under: Eggerthellaceae
Lineage: Bacteria; Bacillati; Actinomycetota; Coriobacteriia; Eggerthellales
Also listed under: 2 other names
Description: Anaerotardibacter sp900542265 Standard tmRNA
Rfam family: transfer-messenger RNA
About the family: Bacterial tmRNA, also known as 10Sa RNA or SsrA, is named for its dual tRNA and mRNA-like properties. Its role is to liberate the mRNA from a stalled ribosome.
Source: RNAcentral
GGGGGCGACUGGUUUCGACAUGGUAAGUCCAAUACGAAGAGCAGGUCGUGGUCUCCUCGCCACGUUAAACAGGGGUACUGUCAAGUUAAUUGGCAAAACUCAAAACAACAACCUCGCUUUAGCUGCUUAAUUGUAGCCCGAGGUGUCAAACCCUUGCAUUUCCCUGGCAUGGGGGCGAUAUCAUUUUUUAGGGAAUGCCGCUCAAUACGUAGCCAGUAUGAUUGAGUCUAAGCCUGAACUGACUAGAACAGAUUUCGCCUGUCUGUGGGCAGAAUCUGUUCGAAGUUUAAACACUGACUAAGCCUGUAGCGCUUCGUUGCAGAUUUAGUAUGGACCGGAGUUCGAUUCUCCGCGCCUCCACCA